GCAGAACGCGAAGAACCUUACCUGGCCUUGACAUGUCGCGAAUCCUGCAGAGAUGCGGGAGUGCCUUCGGGAAUGCGAACACAGGUGCUGCAUGGCUGUCGUCAGCUCGUGUCGUGAGAUGUUGGGUUAAGUCCCGCAACGAGCGCAACCCUUGUCCUUAGUUGCCAGCACGUAAUGGUGGGAACUCUAAGGAGACCGCCGGUGACAAACCGGAGGAAGGUGGGAUGACGUCAAGUCAUCAUGGCCCUUACGGCCAGGGCUACACACGUACUACAAUGGGGUGUACAGAGGGUUGCAAAGCCGCGAGAUGGAGCCAAUCCCAGAAAGCACUUCUCAGUCCGGAUCGGAGUCUGCAACUCGACUCCGUGAAGUCGGAAUCGCUAGUAAUCGCAGAUCAGAAUGCUGCGGUGAAUACGUUCCCGGGUCUUGUACACACCG
Molecule: ribosomal RNA, 438 nt
Filed under: uncultured bacterium
Lineage: Bacteria
Description: bacterial SSU rRNA
Rfam family: Bacterial small subunit ribosomal RNA
Source: RNAcentral